This 69-nucleotide ribosomal RNA is filed under the name Hyphomonas sp. RNAcentral describes it as "partial 16S ribosomal RNA". It matches the Rfam family "Bacterial small subunit ribosomal RNA", at positions 1 to 68 of the family's 1533-position model. Lineage: Bacteria; Pseudomonadati; Pseudomonadota; Alphaproteobacteria; Hyphomonadales; Hyphomonadaceae. The record is from RNAcentral.
UCAACUUGAGAGUUUGAUUCUGGCUCAGAACGAACGCUGGCGGCAGGCUUAACACAUGCAAGUCGAGCG